GGGCCCGCACAAGCAGCGGAGCAUGUGGUUUAAUUCGAAGCAACGCGAAGAACCUUACCAAGGCUUGACAUCCUGCGACCGCCAUAGAGAUAUGGCUUCCCUUCGGGGCGCAGAGACAGGUGGUGCAUGGUUGUCGUCAGCUCGUGUCGUGAGAUGUUGGGUUAAGUCCCGCAACGAGCGCAACCCUUGUCACUAGUUGCCAACAGGUAAUGCUGGGAACUCUAGUGAGACUGCCGUUGACAAAACGGAGGAAGGUGGGGACGACGUCAAAUCAUCAUGCCCCUUAUGUCUUGGGCUACACACGUGCUACAAUGGCCGGUACAAAGGGCAGCGACCCGCGAGGGUGAGCGAAUCUCAAAAAGCCGGUCCCAGUUCGGAUUGUGGGCUGCAACCCGCCCACAUGAAGUCGGAGUUGCUAGUAAUCGCGAAUCAGCAUGUCG
Molecule: ribosomal RNA, 440 nt
Filed under: uncultured Bacillota bacterium
Lineage: Bacteria; Bacillati; Bacillota
Description: bacterial SSU rRNA
Rfam family: Bacterial small subunit ribosomal RNA
Source: RNAcentral